GGCGGGGCCAGGCACGAGGUGAACUCCUGUGAGCUGCACCAGUUGAGGGCCUUGGACCCAGGGCCGAGCCACGGGCUGCACAGCCCUUCCAGUCCCUCUUCAGCAGAACAAAGAAGGUGGGCUUAAGGAAGCAACGUGCCUAGUUGUAUGGAGACUUAGCUGCUGAGUCUAGGCAGCACCCUGGGCAGCAGGGCAGGACUGAAAAAAAGGCAGGGACGACCUGGCCAGGAGCUAUCGAGGACACCUCUAGUCAGGAUAAAUCCCCGGGUCACAGAGGAAGGGGGAAUCACUCAUCUAGGCCAGAGCCCAAGUGAUCUACAAGAUCCCUCACCAUGGAAAAAAGAAUGAAGAAGUUUAUCCUACCUAGCCCCAGUAGGGGAAGGGAAGAUGGAGGAGCCUGGGAGAGUGCCUACCCCACUGCCCCAGUCCUUAAACACAAAGCAAGGGAAUGAAGAGGACCCUCCCUCUGAAAUACAGCACCAACCUCACCACGGAGGCAGAAGGACAGUGAGUGGGAUUACUUCCCUCUGAAGGAGAGAGUGGAACGGAGCACAUACCGUCCGUGGCUGUGGCACCCUCCCUACCGGGGUUUGGAUGCAGCCUCAGCACCAGGAGUGGGGGAAGGGAGAAGGAAGGACAGGACUGCACUGUCGACAUCUCCCUGGACCCCCAGUGCCCCGGCAGAGGUGCUCCUCUCUGUCACUAGCCCAGGGCAGGGGGAUUCGGAAGAAAUCUGGCAUGAGAUCCAAGGAAAGCUAUUUCUUCUUUCGUUCUUGGGAGCAGCGUGGGCAAAACCUAAAAACCGGCAAAGAGCAGGGCAAGCAAAAGCUUGGUGGUCAGCCCCACACAGGCGAAGUGGAACCACUCGAUGGAACACUGGAAGAGGAAGAUGGAACACAGCAGUCAGGGGCCUGAGCUGGAGGGGAGAGGAGCCAGCUGCAGACUCCUGAGAGGGCCCCUUUACUCCAGCCUUUGGAAACUUCCUGCAAGUCCCCAGGCAACCCAGUCUGACCACUCUCCUAUCCUGCACUCCCUCUCUCCAACUGAAUAAAGUGCCUGCUCCUUUUAUUCA
Molecule: long non-coding RNA, 1072 nt
Organism: Peromyscus eremicus (cactus mouse)
Lineage: Eukaryota; Metazoa; Chordata; Mammalia; Rodentia; Cricetidae
Exons: 4
Source: RefSeq, a predicted model, not a curated record